CUUCCGACAAUCCUUGGAGUUGCCCACGUUCUCUAGCUGACCUUGACCUUCUCUCCUUCUGGAGAGUAGGAUUCUUUAGGGUACUGGAGUUUCCUUCAAUCCCGAGGCCCCCAUCAACAGAUAUGAAGGUGUUCUUUUUCUGCGGGAAUCUACUGAUGAAGCCUGCCUUGUUCUUGGAGCCCACCAGCCCAGCCAUGGAAGGAAUCUCAGGGAGGCAAUGGAAAGAGGAGCUGGUCAUUUCCAGGCCAUGCCCACUGGCCCACAUCUGUUAAUCACUGCCAAAGAGGAGUCCUGGGAAUAGGACCUAGUCACUCAGGCCAGAAAACAUUGGCUCUUCCUUGAUCCCUCUCCUCUUCCCCUUCCCCCAACCCAUAGGAAACCCAAAAGGAAGCUUGGUGAGGCACCAUAGUACUUCAACACCAGAUGGCCUUCCCAGAAGGGACUGGGGUCACCACUUCCAUUGUGGGGAUUUGGUAACCAUCAAUCAACAAGCAUUUACUUGACCAUAUAUGAGGCACUGCACUAAUUGUUUGGGAUAGAAAAAACAUCUGUUUGGGGGAGGUUCAGGUGGUGGCCUGUUCCCAGUGCAGAGAAGCACCUUAUCUGCAAGUUAGAGCCAGAAAGUUGUCUGGGACCUUGAGAGGCUGGGACUGCCCUGAGCCACACACAAUGGGUCUAUCAAAAAGCAUUUAUUAAAAGUGUUUGCUGUACAUGUUUAACAUAUAAUUCAUUACUUGCUGUCUAGGAGA
Molecule: long non-coding RNA, 749 nt
Organism: Sarcophilus harrisii (Tasmanian devil)
Lineage: Eukaryota; Metazoa; Chordata; Mammalia; Dasyuromorphia; Dasyuridae
Exons: 3
Source: RefSeq, a predicted model, not a curated record